Molecule: ribosomal RNA, 497 nt
Filed under: uncultured bacterium
Lineage: Bacteria
Description: partial 16S ribosomal RNA
Rfam family: Bacterial small subunit ribosomal RNA
Source: RNAcentral
GAUGAACGCUGGCGGCGUGCCUAAUACAUGCAAGUCGAGCGAACGGACGAGAAGCUUGCUUUUCUGAUGUUAGCGGCGGACGGGAGAGUAACACGUGGAUAACCUACCUAUAAGACUGGGAUAAUUACGGGAAACCGGAGCUAAUACCGGAUAAUAUUUUGAACCGCAUGGUGCAAAAGUGAAAGACGGUCUUGCUGUCACUUAUAGAUGGAUCCGCGCUGCAUUAGCUAGUUGGUAAGGUAACGGCUUACCAAGGCGACGAUGCAUAGCCGACCUGAGAGGGUGGUCGGCCACACGGGAACUGGGCCGCGGUCCAGACUCCUGCGAGAGGCAGCAGUAGGGAAUCGUCCGCAAUGGGCGAGAGCCUUACGGAGCAACGCCGCGUGAGUUAUGAAGGUCUUCGGAUCGUGAAACUCUGUUAUUAGGGGAGAACAUAUGUGUAAGUAACUGUGCACAUCUUGACGGUACCUAAUCAGAAAGCCACGGCUAACUACGUG